This is a long non-coding RNA of Alligator sinensis (Chinese alligator), 1006 nucleotides long. RefSeq lists it as uncharacterized. NCBI's taxonomy places the organism in Eukaryota, Metazoa, Chordata, Crocodylia, Alligatoridae. The transcript is spliced from 5 exons. The record is from RefSeq and is a predicted model, not a curated record.
CCGCACGUAGCGCACGUGUUCGGCUGGGGGCGCCUCGCGGCCCCCUGCUGGUCCAGUGCACGAGGGGGCCUUCGGGGAGCCUUUGCCUCGCACCCUCCCGGGGCUGCGGCACCCCUCGCACCCCCUCCACCUUUGCAAAGGAUUGCAAAGCCUUCCUCUGAAGCCACUGCUACUUUCCAGAUUGCCUUCUCCCAUGUUGAGUCCAGCCUGAACUCGGAGAUUUAUAAUUUCGCAUGAAAACGCAUCUUGUUAGAGCAGGCUGAAACGCUAAAGGAAUCCAAGUCGCUCCCUUUCCACCCAGAUCCCACAGAUACAUGUACACUGGUGGUAUGUACCAGUUAGUUGUUCAGACACACAGAAGUAUGCCUGGUGCUGUCACCCGAAAAUGUGCAUGACUUGUAGACCAUUUUCCCUGCUGAUGUGCAGACCACGCAUUUCCAGAAGGUGCCUCCAUCUGCGCAAAUCAUUCUCUACAUCUGCUUUCUUCGAUCAGGACUCCAUCAUAGUGAACAUCAUUCACCAGGAGGCAUCCUUCUGAAUGUCCCUGUGUAUGUAUUCAGGACUAGCUCAAAGAAGAACAGGCUCAACACAGAUGAGAAUUGUACAAAGGAUCCUAGAGUCCAGCACAAAAAAGCCUUGUCUACAGAAUAUCUGGUAAAGAAAUUCAGGUGACUUACUGCAGAAGCUAUGACAAGAAAGAACUAAAAGCAAUCACUGCAAAGGUCUAAAAUGAGAGGAGGAAACAAAUGUGAGACUGAGAUGGGACACUCAAUGAGUGUCCCCUGGGAUAGGAAAAUAAAGGGAGGCCAGCAUGGAGAUGGAGCGGUACAAAGGGCCAAUGCCUUGCAGGGUGGACCACCCAUUUUUACAUUUUCACCAACUUAUAGAGUCUAGCUCCUCCAAGAAGCCAAAAAUAACUGCUCACGUCUUUCCCAAAAGAUCUCAGACUGGCCAAACCCCCUUCUCAAAAAAACCCCCAAAAACCAAACCCCAACCCUACUCCUAA